RNAcentral lists this unclassified non-coding RNA (763 nucleotides) under Rhipicephalus microplus (southern cattle tick). RNAcentral's name for it is "uncharacterized LOC119160846, transcript variant X4". The record is from RNAcentral. Lineage: Eukaryota; Metazoa; Arthropoda; Arachnida; Ixodida; Ixodidae.
ACACCUCUACUUGGAAUAAUUACUAUAUAAAAGAAGUGAAAGGGACCAGGAGAAGUCAAUACAUUCAUAUGACGUUGGGCUGGCUGCGAGGCUGCCUGAUCACUCUGGAACCACAGCUGAAUCGUAUACGAAUACAUUCACAAGAGUUCUGCGGCUGGGAACGAAGUACUUGAAACUGGAUCCCAUGGCUUUACCUAACCAAGUCCUGGACUUCUCCCUUUUCGGCAGAGUUUUACUGCUUGAAGGAUCAGUGUCAGGCCUCAGCUCAAUCAGACAGACAGGCACAAACCUAAUUAGGGCAGAAAAUGGCACCUUCAGCGCUAGCAUAGACCUCGGCACCGAGCAACUGCACGUCAACUACACUGCCCUGAUAACGGCCGCCAAAUUUAGUCACUUGGUUGCGUAUUUGUCGGCCUUCGUUAGGAUGACCAGGAUGGCUCUUGUUAUCAGUGAGACAGAUGCUGGUGAACUUCAACUCAUUCGGUUUCAAUUAAUAAAUUUUGAUGGACUGGAAGUUACCCUUGAUGCUCUAAAGCAUGGUGACUAUCUGAUUAACGCCAUUAUACGGAAUGCUUUAAAAAUGUUCAGAAGCACUUUGAAGGCUAAAACUGAAGAAACAAUUGUGCGAGAAAUUCGAUCUUCUCUUAACUACCUGAACAAACUUUUGUCUUAAAGUGCUUUUCCUAAAAACAUACCUCUUCUAAUGUGAUAAUUGCUGACUGUUACAUUGGUUGAAUCAAUAAACAUAAGCCACAAGACCAAA